GUAGGGGGCAAGCGUUGUCCGGAUUUAUUGGGCGUAAAGAGCGUGUAGGCGGCCAGAUAGGUCAGCUGUGAAAACUCGAGGCUCAACCUCGAGAUGUCGGCUGAAACCAUUUGGCUAGAGUCCGGAAGAGGAGAAUGGAAUUCCCGGUGUAGCGGUGAAAUGCGCAGAUAUCGGGAAGAACACCCGUGGCGAAGGCGGUUCUCUGGGACGGUACUGACGCUGAGACGCGAAAGCGUGGGGAGCGAACAGGAUUAGAUACCCUGGUAGUCCACGCCGUAAACGAUGGGAACUAGGUGUGGGCGGUGUCGACUCCGUCCGUGCCGAAGCUAACGCAUUAAGUUCCCCGCCUGGGGAGUACGGCCGCAAGGCUAAA
Molecule: ribosomal RNA, 373 nt
Filed under: uncultured bacterium
Lineage: Bacteria
Description: bacterial SSU rRNA
Rfam family: Bacterial small subunit ribosomal RNA
Source: RNAcentral